UCACACCAUGGGAGUUGUGUUUGCCUUAAGUCAGGAUGCUAAAUUAGCUACUGCCCACGGCACACACAGCGACUGGGGUGAAGUCGUAACAAGGUAACCGUAGGUGAACCUGCGGUUGGAUCACCUCCUUUCUAGA
RNAcentral lists this ribosomal RNA (136 nucleotides) under Helicobacter pylori. Its description in RNAcentral is "partial 16S ribosomal RNA". It matches the Rfam family "Bacterial small subunit ribosomal RNA", at positions 1397 to 1533 of the family's 1533-position model. Lineage: Bacteria; Pseudomonadati; Campylobacterota; Epsilonproteobacteria; Campylobacterales; Helicobacteraceae. The record is from RNAcentral.